AUUGAACGCUGGCGGCAGGCUUAACACAUGCAAGUCGAGCGGAGAUGAGGUGCUUGCACCUUAUCUUAGCGGCGGACGGGUGAGUAAUGCUUAGGAAUCUGCCUAUUAGUGGGGGACAACAUUCCGAAAGGAAUGCUAAUACCGCAUACGUCCUACGGGAGAAAGCAGGGGAUCUUCGGACCUUGCGCUAAUAGAUGAGCCUAAGUCGGAUUAGCUAGUUGGUGGGGUAAGGGCCUACCAAGGCGACGAUCUGUAGCGGGUCUGAGAGGAUGAUCCGCCACACUGGGACUGAGACACGGCCCAGACUCCUACGGGAGGCUGCAGUGGGGAAUAUUGGACAAUGGGGGGAACCCUGAUCCAGCCAUGCCGCGUGUGUGAAGAAGGCCUUAUGGUUGUAAAGCACUUUAAGCGAGGAGGAGGCUACUGAGACUAAUACUCUUGGAUAGUGGACGUUACUCGCAGAAUAAGCACCGGCUAACUCUGUGCCAGCAGCCGCCGUAA
Molecule: ribosomal RNA, 501 nt
Filed under: uncultured bacterium
Lineage: Bacteria
Description: partial 16S ribosomal RNA
Rfam family: Bacterial small subunit ribosomal RNA
Source: RNAcentral